Vigna unguiculata (cowpea) is the source of this 502-nucleotide long non-coding RNA. RefSeq lists it as uncharacterized. NCBI's taxonomy places the organism in Eukaryota, Viridiplantae, Streptophyta, Magnoliopsida, Fabales, Fabaceae. The record is from RefSeq and is a predicted model, not a curated record.
UAUAUUGCGGCUAUAUAAGUUCACAAACUCGGCGUCUCCUUUCGUCUUUUGUUUUUUUCUCAUUCUCAAAAUUGCAGUCGCCGAAAGUUGUCUGUAAGAAGAGAUGGAAGAAAUGCAUGGAAGUAUGUUAUCUCAUUGCAUAAAGAAUGAAGGGAUGCUGCUGCUAAUCAAAUCAACGCUUUCCUCUCUUUCACAGCAAAAACAUUACGUUACAGCAUCAGGCAACAAUGAUCUUAAAGGUCAAUAUAUGGAGAAAGUUCAGGAAACCUGGUGGUGGGAAAUUUAUGGAGGCUGACACCCGUCUCUAAUACGACGUCGUCCUGAUUACAGCUGAAGUCAAAACCAAUAACAGAAGUUAUAUUAAAAAUAGAGUUACCAUGUGACAUUUAUGUAUUAUUUUAUUAAGUUUCUACUGUUUUUUUCGUUUCAUUUAAAGAUGUAAUGAGAUAACAAGUGAUAAAAUGAUUCCAUCACUUUUAUGUAUUCUUUUGUUAUAUUUUCA